CCUACGGGAGGCAGCAGUGAGGAAUAUUGGUCAAUGGGCGGAAGCCUGAACCAGCCAAGUAGCGUGCAGGAUGACGGCCCUACGGGUUGUAAACUGCUUUUAUACGGGAAUAACGCGCCUUACGUGUAGGGCUUUGCAUGUACCGUAUGAAUAAGGACCGGCUAAUUCCGUGCCAGUAGCCGCGGUAAUACGGAAGGUCCGGGCGUUAUCCGGAUUUAUUGGGUUGAAAGGGAGCGUAGGCCGCAGCACAAGCGUGCAGUGAAAUGUCCGGGCUUAACCCCGGCAUUGCAGCGCGAACUGGGCAGCUUGAGUGCGCGGAAGGUAAGUGGAAUUCGUCGUGUAGCGGUGAAAUGCGUAGAUAUGACGAAGAACACCGAUUGCGAAGGCAGCUUGCUGGAGCGGAACUGACGCUGAUGCUCGAAAGCGCGGGUAGCGAACAGGAUUAGAUACCCGAGUAGUC
Molecule: ribosomal RNA, 460 nt
Filed under: uncultured bacterium
Lineage: Bacteria
Description: partial 16S ribosomal RNA
Rfam family: Bacterial small subunit ribosomal RNA
Source: RNAcentral